This 27-nucleotide non-coding RNA is filed under the name Mus musculus (house mouse). Lineage: Eukaryota; Metazoa; Chordata; Mammalia; Rodentia; Muridae. The record is from RNAcentral.
UCAUCAUUUUCAUACCUGCUUGGGAAG